This 469-nucleotide ribosomal RNA is filed under the name uncultured bacterium. RNAcentral's name for it is "bacterial SSU rRNA". It matches the Rfam family "Bacterial small subunit ribosomal RNA", at positions 331 to 793 of the family's 1533-position model. The record is from RNAcentral.
UGUGACUCCUACGGGAGGCAGCAGUGGGGAAUAUUGCACAAUGGGCGCAAGCCUGAUGCAGCCAUGCCGCGUGUGUGAAGAAGGCCUUCGGGUUGUAAAGCACUUUCAGUAGGGAGGAAGGUAGUGUAGUUAACACCUGCACUAUUUGACGUUACCUACAGAAGAAGCACCGGCUAACUCCGUGCCAGCAGCCGCGGUAAUACGGAGGGUGCGAGCGUUAAUCGGAAUUACUGGGCGUAAAGCGCAUGCAGGCGGCCUGUUAAGUCAGAUGUGAAAGCCCGGGGCUUAACCUCGGAAUUGCAUUUGAAACUGGCAGGCUAGAGUCUUGUAGAGGGGGUAGAAUUUCAGGUGUAGCGGUGAAAUGCGUAGAGAUCUGAAGGAAUACCAGUGGCGAAGGCGGCCCCCUGGACAAAGACUGACGCUCAGAUGCGAAAGCGUGGGGAGCAAACAGGAUUAGAUACCCUGGUAG